Molecule: ribosomal RNA, 543 nt
Filed under: uncultured bacterium
Lineage: Bacteria
Description: bacterial SSU rRNA
Rfam family: Bacterial small subunit ribosomal RNA
Source: RNAcentral
UACGCGCAGAACCUUAUCCCAGGCUUGACAUGCACGGAUUAGCCGGCGGAAACGUCGGUGAGGCCGCAAGGUACAACGUGCACAGGUGCUGCAUGGCUGUCGUCAGCUCGUGCCGUGAGGUGUUGGGUUAAGUCCCCUAACGAGCGCAACCCCUGUGUCUAGUUGCCAGCGGGUCAUGCCGGGAACUCUAGACAGACCGCCGGCGUUAAGCCGGAGGAAGGCGGGGAUGACGUCAAGUCCUCAUGGCCCUUAUGCCUGGGGCUGCACACGUACUACAAUGGGGCGGACAGAGCGAAGCCAAGUCGCAAGGCCCAGCCAAUCGCAGAAACCGGCCCUCAGUUCGGAUUGCGGGCUGCAACCCGCCCGCAUGAAGCUGGAAUCGCUAGUAAUCGCGGAUCAGCAUGCCGCGGUGAAUGGGUUCCUGAGCCUUGUACACACCGCCCGUCAAGCCACCAAAGCGGGGGGCAUCCGAAGUCGCCGGAGUCGCAAGGCAGGCGCCGAAGGUGAAACCCGUGAUGGGGACUAAGUCGUAACAAGGUAACC